AAACCACACUGGUAGAUUACAUUGUAUCAAGUACUCAAGAACAUGUUAAGGCAUCCCAAAUGCUGGAUAUGCUUCAGUCUAUAUUGGAUGAUGAAGCUGAAAUGUUUGUGCUCAAGAUGUGGAGGAUGCUUAUCUUUGAAAUUAAGAAGGUGGAAACGGGUCUUGCUUUGAGGUCAAAAACAUAAAACUAGUUACUCAUUUGUUCCUGGAGUGCUGUGAGAUGGACAUUCUGGUUUCCGAGUAUUGUAGAACAAAGCACAGAUUGCAAUCAAGGUACAUUUUGCAAU
RNAcentral lists this unclassified non-coding RNA (287 nucleotides) under Hevea brasiliensis (rubber tree). The record is from RNAcentral. Lineage: Eukaryota; Viridiplantae; Streptophyta; Magnoliopsida; Malpighiales; Euphorbiaceae.